AUACUGCUGAAGAGUCCCAAACUACGUUGAGGAAACAGCUGUCCAGUAU
This 49-nucleotide non-coding RNA is filed under the name Trichobilharzia regenti. Lineage: Eukaryota; Metazoa; Platyhelminthes; Trematoda; Strigeidida; Schistosomatidae. The record is from RNAcentral.